GGGGCUAUAGCUCAGCUGGGAGAGCGCUUGACUGGCAGUCAAGAGGUCAGGGGUUCGAAUCCCCUUAGCUCCA
RNAcentral lists this transfer RNA (73 nucleotides) under bacterium. Its description in RNAcentral is "tRNA-Ala". It matches the Rfam family "tRNA". From Rfam's summary of the family: Transfer RNA (tRNA) molecules are approximately 80 nucleotides in length. Their secondary structure includes four short double-helical elements and three loops (D, anti-codon, and T loops). Further hydrogen bonds mediate the characteristic L-shaped molecular structure. tRNAs have two regions of fundamental functional importance: the anti-codon, which is responsible for specific mRNA codon recognition, and the 3' end, to which the tRNAs corresponding amino acid is attached (by aminoacyl-tRNA synthetases). tRNAs cope with the degeneracy of the genetic code in two manners: having more than one tRNA (with a specific anti-codon) for a particular amino acid; and 'wobble' base-pairing, i.e. permitting non-standard base-pairing at the 3rd anti-codon position. The record is from RNAcentral.